Molecule: long non-coding RNA, 437 nt
Organism: Callorhinchus milii (elephant shark)
Lineage: Eukaryota; Metazoa; Chordata; Chondrichthyes; Chimaeriformes; Callorhinchidae
Exons: 3
Source: RefSeq, a predicted model, not a curated record
GAGUGCACUAGAUUGGGCUCAGCUGUGAUGAUCCUCAUUUUCCCAUCUGACUAAUCCCAAGACACUUCUUGUUCAGGCUCGCAGGACAAGAGGGCCCAGCAACAGUUGUGGAAUCGUGUCUCUGGACAACACGAGUCGCUUGCCUUUAGGAGAAGAAUCUUAUGCCACAGUAAAUGCGCUGAUGGCUCAGUGGGCGAAGUUUGCUAUUGAACCAUUCAACCAGAAGAGGAGAUCCUACAUUCAAUCUCUAGUAUCUACAAAACUGUGACAAUCAGCCAUGAAGACCCUACAAAGGCAAAGUCGAAAGAUUGAUUGACUGUCUGGAAUCGAUUGAAUUCUUAUCGAGUGUCGAGAAAAACGUGCUCGCUGCAAUUAUCAGAACGACGGGCGAUUUUGUUUUAAACUUUGCAAUGAAGAAACAAAAGAAAGAAAGGAAG